Molecule: non-coding RNA, 1604 nt
Organism: Callorhinus ursinus (northern fur seal)
Lineage: Eukaryota; Metazoa; Chordata; Mammalia; Carnivora; Otariidae
Source: RefSeq, a predicted model, not a curated record
UGACUGGUUACAGCACCUACUUUUGAGUUGUUUUUUCCUUGACAGUAAUGUAGAAACGUAGAGAUACUAUUUGCGGACACUUUUUUUUUUAGCAGAUGAUGUAACAUAUCACACAGAUUUUUAAGUCCUCCAGAUUUAAUGCCUUCACUUGCUAUGCAAAUUCGCACAGUAACAGGCAUGGGGAAGGAAUACACUCUACCCUUUUUGUGAAUUGAGCAGUCCUGUUAGGUUUCGCUAACAUUUGCUGAGAACUUUUAUAAGACAGAUGAGGCUACGGUGCUAGCAAAGAACAGAACUUUAAUAUUCUGAAAAGAAGGAAAGAAAAGAAGAACAAUUUUCGAAUCACUCCUCCAACCACGGAAAUGAUUUUAAUUACCAAUUCAUCUGUUGGCAGACUCUUCUGGCAGAUGUACCUGCAACUUGGAAAGCUAACAAAUGAACUGAUUCCUUACUCCAGAGUUGACACUGAUAGUGCUUGCUGAAUUUGCUCUCAGAAAAGAAUCCUGGGCAACAAUACAUCUGGCACUCUGCUCGAGGAAUUUGUCAUGUCGUUGACAUGUUCAGCCUCCAUUGUCCACACCACCCCGACAGCAGGUCCUUUCUAUUUCAAAGAAAUUGCAGUCUGAAUUAAUAUAAUUAGAAUGUAACUGCUAUUCACUGCACAAACUCCUCAUUUCCAGGAGUACAGAUCUGAUAACGUGUCUGUGCGCAAAAUCUUCCCAAUGAUGGCUGGAGGGGAGCACGCCGAUAAUACCACGACAGAAGAGACACCAUUUCAUCUGCCUUUUUAAGCGCCAACUAUGGGAAUCUAGGAGGAGAAGAAAACUGUGCUAUCUUUGGCAUGUCUAAAUAGAAAUAUCCUUCAAAUUUACCAGCCUAUAUAGAUUUUCAUAAAAUAUAUAGAGUGUCUGAAGUAAGAAAAAAAAUGAAAUGGGAAAGAUUGCCUAUCUUCCAAAAGACCGCUAUAUGAGGUAGAGUGGAUAAUUCAUGGAUAGACUUACAGAAUGAAAAGGUGGUUGAUGACUUCAUUUAUUCUUUACAGCUUCACUGUAAAGAGCCCAUGUCACUAACUGAGCAAUUAUCACCAAGUAAACAACUAGAUUCUUGAAUUCCAUUGUUUGUUGUUAUCUUACUAUAAACACUCGACAUGGUGGAAGCCUACAUCAGCAUCUUUUUUUUUUUAAAUAAGAUUAAUUUUUAUUCUCUUAAAUAUGUUGGCAUUCUUACCUUGAAGGACUCAUUUUAGGGGAAAAGUGACCUGACAUACUCAUGUGUCGGCUGGUGCUCAUGGUCUCUCCUCUGAAGAAUAUAAAGUGUAUCCUUGUGCAAAUUUGUGUUCCUCCAAAAUGUUAGUCUCCUUACCCCCAAUGUUACAGUAUUUGGAGGCAGAGUCUUUGGGAGGUGAUUCGUUUAGAGGAGAUCAUGAGGUUGAGGUCCCAUGAUGGGAUUAGUGUCUGCAUAAGAAGGAGACAUGCAGAGCAUAUUCGAUCUUUCUCUCCUCCAUGUAAGGACACAGCAGGAAGCCUGCCAUCUGCAAGCCAGGAAGAGAGCACUUACCAAGAACCGAAGGAACCAGCACCUUGAUCUUGGGCUUCUUAGCCUCU